AUACAGAGGGUGCAAGCGUUACUCGGAAUCACUGGGCGUAAAGGACGCGUAGGCGGGUUGGUAAGUCAGGUGUGAAAUCCUACAGCUUAACUGUAGAACUGCACUUGAAACUACCAACCUAGAGUAUGGGAGGGGGAGAUGGAAUUAGUGGUGUAGGGGUAAAAUCCGUAGAUAUCACUAGGAAUACCGAAAGCGAAGGCGAUCUCCUGGAACAUAACUGACGCUAAGGCGUGAAAGCGUGGGGAGCAAACAGGAUUAGAAACCCUAGUAGUCC
This 274-nucleotide ribosomal RNA is filed under the name uncultured bacterium. Its description in RNAcentral is "partial 16S ribosomal RNA". It matches the Rfam family "Bacterial small subunit ribosomal RNA", at positions 523 to 796 of the family's 1533-position model. The record is from RNAcentral.